AUAGCUCUCUGUGGGGAGGAAACUCUAGUCAGCUCCCCUGUACAACUUUGAAGAAGAGCAUUAGAAAAAGAAAAUGGCAUCACAAUGUGAUCAAUGCAACUUGAUAAAAAACUACAAUGGCUCAUUACCGGAUCAGUAUAGAUGUAAGUGUAACCAGGGGGCAAACUCAGCAUUACUUGCUCUGGUUGCAUCGUACAUAAACAACAGCCGUGCUCUGAUGACGGAAUCAAGAGAUGGGACAUACACUCGACAUUACCAAAACAUCGAGCAAGGCAUUCGCUCACAUCAGCGUGUAGUCAGAAGGAACAAUCAAGUUGUAGAAGCUGAAUAUGUGAUUUAUGAAAGUAAUUAAAAGCUCCCUAAUGAGGUUUUGGUCACACUUAACAAUAAUGUUCCACUGAUUAAUGUUGAUGUAUUUAAUAAUAUGAACAAACAAUGAAUAAUACAUUUAUUACAGGAUUUUGUCCAAGAUUUGAUAAGAUUAUUUAAUUAAAAUAAAGUCAUUUAUUGUUAGUUCUUCCUAUCUCAAAGUGCAUUAACUAAUGUUAAAAGGCCUAAAUUUAGUUGGAAUGAAAUACUGAGAUUUGCAUUAUUAUUAAUAGAUUUUAUACAAAUAUAAUUCAUUCUUAAUUCAUGUAGUAGGUAAAAACAUUAACAAUCAUUAACCUAAUGGAACAUCAUUGUAAAGGCUCAUUUACUCACGACUUGUGAGUCAGUUUAAAGUUUCUGUGUCUGUGCGUUCUGUUGAGCAUAAAAUAUCUUCUUUCAUGAAGCCAAAGGUUACAGGUUUCCAACAUUCUGCAAAACAUCUUCUUUUGUGUUAAAUGUUAGCGAGGAUCAUUCAUGUCACUUCGUGGUCAAGUCAGGCAGGUUUUUGACUAGCAAAUGUGUGCAAUUGUGGGUCUAUCAUAAUAAUUGUGCCAACGUAGCAUAAUACAUGCCAUGGCUGUAUGAAGAUC
This is a long non-coding RNA of Danio rerio (zebrafish), 959 nucleotides long. RefSeq lists it as uncharacterized. The record is from RefSeq and is marked validated. Lineage: Eukaryota; Metazoa; Chordata; Actinopteri; Cypriniformes; Danionidae.